RNAcentral lists this ribosomal RNA (253 nucleotides) under uncultured bacterium. RNAcentral describes it as "partial 16S ribosomal RNA". It matches the Rfam family "Bacterial small subunit ribosomal RNA", at positions 524 to 776 of the family's 1533-position model. The record is from RNAcentral.
UACGGGGGGGGCAAGCGUUGUUCGGAAUUACUGGGCGUAAAGGGCGCGUAGGCGGCCGCCUAAGUCAGACGUGAAAUCCCUCGGCUCAACCGGGGAACUGCGUCUGAUACUGGGUGGCUUGAAUCCGGGAGAGGGAUGCGGAAUUCCAGGUGUAGCGGUGAAAUGCGUAGAUAUCUGGAGGAACACCGGUGGCGAAGGCGGCAUCCUGGACCGACACUGACACUGAGGAGCGAAAGCCAGGGGAGCAAACGGG